This is a long non-coding RNA of Folsomia candida, 1236 nucleotides long. RefSeq lists it as uncharacterized. NCBI's taxonomy places the organism in Eukaryota, Metazoa, Arthropoda, Collembola, Entomobryomorpha, Isotomidae. The transcript is spliced from 2 exons. The record is from RefSeq and is a predicted model, not a curated record.
UCUUAUUAUUUUGAGAUUGACAUAUUUUUUGGAACCUCUGAAGCAUCAAUAUACUUUUACUUGUAUAAUCCUUAAAAGUAACAUAUUUUACAUUUUGUGUUGUUACUUUGUGCAUAUUUUGUUGUGUGUGUACGUAUAACAUAAUCCGUCAGAUUUUGAUUCAAAAUUGAUUAAAAAAAUCUCUUGUGACCCGCCCCCAAUUUGCUGUGCACAUUCAUGCACGUCUUUCUCUCUCUCUCUCUGAAGCUAAAAACAAUUGGUUUUGUUUUGUUUAAUGCAACUUUUACAUUCUUCAUCCACCCGGGCGCCAUUUAUUUUAUAUCCAUUUAUAUUACAGGAGAGAGAGAGAGAAAGAAACACGAGAUGAAAACUAUUUCGGAGUCUAAUGUACCAUUCAGCCCGGUACUUGAACGUGGCAUAAUGUGAGGGCAAAACAACCCUAGCCGGGAUGUUAUGUCGGAUAUUAUUGUUGCUUAAAGUUGCAUUCAUUUCAGCGGAGAGCGACCAGGUUAAUGUUAUAUUACUUUGGUGCGGAAGAGACAUUAAAAGCAAUUUUAUUUUAUAGAAAACGGCAGCCAUGCCAUGUCAUUCCGCUCCGUUAAUGUUAAUAGUAACUACAAUAGUAAUAGUGGACUGGUAAUAAUAAUAAUAAAAGUAAUAGUCGCUCCGGCCAGCAGCCUGCUCUCUCCCUCCUUCCAUCCAUCCACUGUAAUAAUAAUAUUCUUUAUACAUUAUAUAACAUAUAUAUAUGUAACGUUUAAUAUGGUCAUCCAGCACUUUCUCCCUCCCUCCAUAUCCUCUCAAAGUGUUCAUAUUUCCCCUGAAUUUUUUAAGGUUUACAAAUUUUAAGGUCUCGAUUCACAUUGCUUUCUCUUUGUCUGAGAACUGAGGAGGAAUUCGUGCUGACUGCGUGAAACGCCGUAUUAAAUGUGUCACACCAAGUUUAGAAUAUCUUUGUUGGCAAUAAUAACGCAAUUUGGAGAAAGUUGAGCGAGGGUGAUAGGAGAGAGAAAUAACAGUUGAAGUUGGUCGUGCUGGAUUGGGAAUAUAAUGGGAGAAACAAUGAUGAUGAUGAAUAUAAAGGCCAUCAGAACCUUGCCUACGGUGAACAACUCGUCAAACCGAUGUGACAUGCCAACCUGUACACUGCAGUUCUCAAAUUGAUACAGCAUAAUACUUUUAAAAAAAUAUAUCCAUGAUUUUUUUAACUAAAUAAAUAAUUUUGUUCCAAAAGAA